This is a non-coding RNA of Mycena rebaudengoi, 98 nucleotides long. Lineage: Eukaryota; Fungi; Basidiomycota; Agaricomycetes; Agaricales; Mycenaceae. The record is from the annotation of a GenBank genome assembly.
GCCUUCGUAGCGCACGGUGCGCACCACACAAUCAUAUCUAUUAGCUUUCAGCCUUAUCGGAUGUAUUGUGGAUCGGGGUUCGACUUCCCGCGAAGGCA